CUGAUGCGUCUCUUGCUGAUCAUCAGUAGGACGUGCUGGUAGCCUAGGGAUAUCAUUCUCGAGCACAUAUCCUAUUUUCUCACAAUUCAGAACAAUUUUCAGGUUCCUAAGCCAGUCUUUAUAGUUGGUUCCGGUCAGUCUGUUGGUCUUAAGGAUUCGGGUCAAAGGGUUUGAAGCUGACAUUGUGAUCUAUAGAGAGUAAAGAUUCUAGUUAGACUUUGUACUUGAACUUAAUUUGUUCUAGGGACUUUUAAAACAAAUAUGCUCCCACUAUUUUCUCGAAUCCUUCAUACUCCCCUGAUGGAGAAACGAAAAUCCUACGCGACUAGGAUUUCUAGUGGGUACUGCGGUCUCACCGAUUUAUAUGCCGCCUCACCUAACAGUUAUUGGUGACAUAUAAAUGGAUGAGUGUACAACUCUUGUACAAUGCUUCUCAAGCAAAUUGCAGUGGUACUUGGUCUCUAAGUGAUGAAGACCUCACCUAACAGUUAUUGGUCCCAUUACUUAGUUAAGUCAU
Molecule: long non-coding RNA, 517 nt
Filed under: Phoenix dactylifera (date palm)
Lineage: Eukaryota; Viridiplantae; Streptophyta; Magnoliopsida; Arecales; Arecaceae
Description: long non-coding RNA (PDAC_LNC022670)
Source: RNAcentral